RNAcentral lists this microRNA (25 nucleotides) under Equus caballus (horse). RNAcentral describes it as "eca-miR-9149". The record is from miRBase by way of RNAcentral. Lineage: Eukaryota; Metazoa; Chordata; Mammalia; Perissodactyla; Equidae.
UCUUAAGGAUCAUGGACAGUGCCCU